AUUGAACGCUGGCGGCAUGCCUUACACAUGCAAGUCGAACGGCAGCACGGGAGCAAUCCUGGUGGCGAGUGGCGAACGGGUGAGUAAUAUAUCGGAACGUGCCCAGUCGUGGGGAUAACGUAGCGAAAGCUACGCUAAUACCGCAUACGAUCUAUGGAUGAAAGCGGGGGAUCGCAAGACCUCGCGCGAUUGGAGCGGCCGAUAUCAGAUUAGGUAGUUGGUGGGGUAAAGGCCUACCAAGGCGACGAUCCGUAGCUGGUCUGAGAGGACGACCAGCCACACUGGGACUGAGACAUGGCCCAGACUCCUACGGGAGGCAGCAGUGGGGAAUUUUUGGACAAUGGGCGCAAGCCUGAUCCAGCCAUUCCGCGUGCAGGAUGAAGGCCUCGGUUGUAAC
RNAcentral lists this ribosomal RNA (397 nucleotides) under uncultured bacterium. RNAcentral's name for it is "bacterial SSU rRNA". It matches the Rfam family "Bacterial small subunit ribosomal RNA", at positions 30 to 429 of the family's 1533-position model. The record is from RNAcentral.